AAAGAUUUAAAAAUCCUACUUAUUUAAAAAUACUAAUAUUAAAUUCAUUAACAGUUUUAUUUCUUUGCAAAUUUUUCAAUUCUGGUUAACAACUCUUCAUUCCUGCUAAAACAUGGCUAACUGGAGGCGCUGAAAGAAUUGGUGCUCGUACAACUGGAUUCUGCCAGAGAGCGAAUCUUGAUGAAUGAUUUUGUAACUUCUUACGAUGACUACAAAAAUGCGGAUUCUGCCUAUAAAGACUUGAUCAAGCAUGCGAGUAUUUUGCCUCCCCUCCCCCACCUCCGCUGCAGCCGGGAGGAUUAGCUGGCGCCACUGCGAUAAGGUAUUGUUAAUUUUUUUUGCAUUUUCAUUUGUUAAAGAUGGAAUCUCGGUAUUGAAGGACGAAGGAACAGGGAGGAGUUGGGGGUUCUUUACGCCAACGGAACUGCUAAGUAUCGCGUGGAUUUCUCCUGUUCCUCUCUUGCUUCUUCUCAUGAUCGCCCGGCGAACAUCGUUUUCUUGAUGACUUCGUCAUGCGUUGAGUUGUGUUUUUGUUGUAGAAUUUCUUCAUGCUGACGAUGAGCAUAAUUACAUUUGUUCUUCUCUUUUGUAUUUCUUGAUGGAUUAGGGUUUUUCUACGCGAUAACAACAAUUCAUCUGGUUGUAUGGUGUUGGGAUAGAAAAUAAAACUUCUUUUGUUCUUGACUGCUUUCUAUCCAUCUUCAAGAAUUAUAUAAAAUUAGAAGAUUAAAGAAUUUUAUUAAAAUUAGUAAAAUUAACCUAAUUAGAAAUUGAGGUAUAAAAGAGGCUGUUCUGCUUCUGUUUCACUCUAGCAGCCGCAGCACUGAGAAACCCUAGAGAGAUCUUGCAGGAACCACUCACCAUGGUUAGAGAUAUUUUCUUUCUCCUUAUUUUCUGCAAUUUCAUCGAAGCUCUUCUUCCUUUUUUUCAUUUUUCGAUCGAUCUUUUUCUCUGCAGACGUUUAAGCGCAGGAAUGGAGGUCGCAACAAGCACGGUCGUGGCCACGUCAAAUUCAUUCGUUGCUCCAACUGUGGCAAAUGCUGUCCUAAGGUUUUUAAUAUGUACCAAAUUUAGAAUCUAAUUAUGAUAAAUCAACUAUAUUCUAACUAGAUGUAAAUUAAUAACUUUGACCAACAAUAAAAAUAAAAAUUAAAUUUAGUUAUACGAAAAAAAAAGGAAAAAGUAAUUAUAAAAGUAAUCAAAAUCAUUAUUUUUUAAAUAAUGAAACUACUCCUCCAAAGUUCAAAAUUACGAUAUCUUUUAAAAUAAGAAGUAAGUCAACA
RNAcentral lists this long non-coding RNA (1283 nucleotides) under Vigna radiata. Its description in RNAcentral is "long non-coding RNA (VRAD_LNC004412)". The record is from RNAcentral. Lineage: Eukaryota; Viridiplantae; Streptophyta; Magnoliopsida; Fabales; Fabaceae.